This 467-nucleotide ribosomal RNA is filed under the name uncultured bacterium. Its description in RNAcentral is "partial 16S ribosomal RNA". It matches the Rfam family "Bacterial small subunit ribosomal RNA", at positions 28 to 506 of the family's 1533-position model. The record is from RNAcentral.
GACGAACGCUGGCGGCGUGCUUAACACAUGCAAGUCGAACGGAAAGGCCUUGUUCCUGUGGGGUGCUCGAGUGGCGAACGGGUGAGUAAGACGUGAGGAACCUGCCCUCGUCUUUGGGAUAACUUCAGGAAACUGGGGCCAAUACCGGAUAGGAGCUCCUGCUGCAUGGGGGGGGUUGGAGAGUGUCGGCGGUUGGGAAUGGACUGCGGGUUCAUCAGCUUGUUGGUGGGGUGGUGGCUUACCAAGGCUUUGACGGUUAGCCGGCCUGAGAGGGGGACCGGCCACAUAGGGAGUGGGAUACGACCCAGAGUCCAACGGGGGGCAGAGGUGGGGGAUAUUGCACGCAGGGCGGAAGCCGGAUACAGAGACGCCGCGUGGGGAAGGACGGCCUUCAGGUGGUAAACAGCUUUCGCCUGUGACGAGGCGUGAGGAAGGGAAAUGGGGAAAAAGGAACGGGCUAACUAGGG